Molecule: long non-coding RNA, 267 nt
Filed under: Lathyrus oleraceus (garden pea)
Lineage: Eukaryota; Viridiplantae; Streptophyta; Magnoliopsida; Fabales; Fabaceae
Description: Pisum sativum (pea) long non-coding RNA (PSAT_LNC023013)
Source: RNAcentral
CUAAAUAAAUUUAAAAGAUGAAGGCCUUAAACUCAAACUCAAAAAAUUGUUACCAAAUAUAAGUAAAUCUAAAAAAGAGUGAAAAUUAAUUUGCUCAUCUCUAAAACCCUAGUCGACGCUUAUCUUUUUCCCUUCUUUUCUGACCACCACAUGAGAAAAUACAAUCAUAUUCUUUUCUGACCACCACAUGAGAAAAUACAAUCAUAUUCACACUCUCCUUCCAUCAGAUCUAGACCAAUUGUAGACCAUUUGAAGCUUUUGAUUUCG